Molecule: ribosomal RNA, 796 nt
Filed under: Alcaligenes sp. DBT3
Lineage: Bacteria; Pseudomonadati; Pseudomonadota; Betaproteobacteria; Burkholderiales; Alcaligenaceae
Description: bacterial SSU rRNA
Rfam family: Bacterial small subunit ribosomal RNA
Source: RNAcentral
GCCCUACGGGGGAAAGGGGGGGAUUCUUCGGAACCUCUCACUAUUGGAGCGGCCGAUAUCGGAUUAGCUAGUUGGUGGGGUAAAGGCUCACCAAGGCAACGAUCCGUAGCUGGUUUGAGAGGACGACCAGCCACACUGGGACUGACACACGGCCCAGACUCCUACGGGAGGCAGCAGUGGGGAAUUUUGGACAAUGGGGGAAACCCUGAUCCAGCCAUCCCGCGUGUAUGAUGAAGGCCUUCGGGUUGUAAAGUACUUUUGGCAGAGAAGAAAAGGUAUCUCCUAAUACGAGAUACUGCUGACGGUAUCUGCAGAAUAAGCACCGGCUAACUACGUGCCAGCAGCCGCGGUAAUACGUAGGGUGCAAGCGUUAAUCGGAAUUACUGGGCGUAAAGCGUGUGUAGGCGGUUCGGAAAGAAAGAUGUGAAAUCCCAGGGCUCAACCUUGGAACUGCAUUUUUAACUGCCGAGCUAGAGUAUGUCAGAGGGGGGUAGAAUUCCACGUGUAGCAGUGAAAUGCGUAGAUAUGUGGAGGAAUACCGAUGGCGAAGGCAGCCCCCUGGGAUAAUACUGACGCUCAGACACGAAAGCGUGGGGAGCAAACAGGAUUAGAUACCCUGGUAGUCCACGCCCUAAACGAUGUCAACUAGCUGUUGGGGCCGUUAGGCCUUAGUAGCGCAGCUAACGCGUGAAGUUGACCGCCUGGGGAGUACGGUCGCAAGAUUAAAACUCAAAGGAAUUGACGGGGACCCGCACAAGCGGUGGAUGAUGUGGAUUAAUUCGAUGCAACGCGAAAA